GGCACUGGUGAGGGGCUUUGUGGCUGCACUCGUCUUUGGCCUCGGAGUCUUCUUUGUCAUCGAUGCCCACAGCCUCUGGAUACGGAGAGAUGACAACUGUGGUGCCCCCCCAGUGACAGUGAGCAUCUGACCUACGCCGAAAUUCAUGUUGUGACCCCUGCUCCCCGGCCACCCAUCAGCCCCCCAUUAUCUACACCCAUGUGGGCAGUGGGGGACCCCUGCUGAUACCCCCACACCCGCAGUGCUUCAUUUUUAAGGUGCUCUGAAUGGGACACACCCCAAAUUCCCCACUUGGAGCUCCAUGAUACAGCAAUCCCAUCCAUAUACCCCUAAAUCCCAAGAAAUCAAACAUCCCCAAAUCCUCCCCUGUGCAGCUCAUCUCAUUUAAAGACCACCAAAUCCCUGAAUUCUCCUCUCUCACCCCCAAAUCCUUCCUGAUUCCCCUCAAAUCCAGUAACAUCCCAUGAGUUCACAAGUACUCCUUAAUCCACCACAAAACCAAACACCUCUGCUAGAUAACCUGCAAAUCCUUCCCAAUCCAACCCCACAAUUCCACUGAAGACCCACUCACCCCAAAGCACAUCCACCUCCAAUUUGACCCUACGGGGAUCCCUCCCAGAGUCUCCCUCCUGCUCUUCUGUCUUGCAGCUCCUCAAAAUGGAUUCAAAAUGAUUGCUUUUCUCCCCCCAUCACCUCUCUCCCUUACGUUCCUUCUCUGCUUCUCUCCAUUUCCUUUCUUUUCUUUCUCUUACUCGCUCUUCCUCAUUUUCCUCCCAGUCAUCUUUUAGACUUCUCCUGCAGCAGCCAUAACCUCAAUUUCCCUGGAGGUAGCAGAGAAGGCAAUAACACCAGUGUCAACAUAUCCUUUAUCCCUAGAGCUCAUUCAUUGCUACUAGGAAGUCCCCAAAUUUUGUUGCAGGGCAGUUGAUUAGCUGAAGGUGGAAAGUUCAAUAAAUGGUCUUCUGU
Gallus gallus (chicken) is the source of this 966-nucleotide long non-coding RNA. RefSeq lists it as uncharacterized. The record is from RefSeq and is a predicted model, not a curated record. The transcript is spliced from 2 exons. NCBI's taxonomy places the organism in Eukaryota, Metazoa, Chordata, Aves, Galliformes, Phasianidae.